RNAcentral lists this non-coding RNA (60 nucleotides) under Deltaproteobacteria bacterium. RNAcentral describes it as "c-di-GMP sequence". It matches the Rfam family "c-di-GMP-I riboswitch aptamer", at positions 22 to 87 of the family's 87-position model. From Rfam's summary of the family: GEMM was predicted in a large-scale screen for bacterial structured RNA regulatory elements. Lineage: Bacteria; Pseudomonadati; Myxococcota; Myxococcia. The record is from RNAcentral.
CGUGAGGCGGGGGCGGAAAGCCGCGGGUCUCCGAGGGUAGGAGAUAGCCGGGUUGCCAGA